Long non-coding RNA from Bombus impatiens (common eastern bumble bee), 817 nucleotides. RefSeq lists it as uncharacterized. NCBI's taxonomy places the organism in Eukaryota, Metazoa, Arthropoda, Insecta, Hymenoptera, Apidae. The transcript has 3 exons. The record is from RefSeq and is a predicted model, not a curated record.
UUUGUACUCACGAUUUCCGUGACUGUACCACGACGCUGCCAGCGAAAACGAGAUUUCGUCCCUGACACUCUAAGCUCUGGCUUCCCAACUCGACGAUCGCGGACGACUUAAAGAGGUCAGCGGUAUCAUUCGGGAUGUUGCUACGUCCUUCGGUAAAGGACACAACACGAAGGGAAAAGAGCAAGAAAUUUAACCACAUAUUAAGGACGCGAGGGGUUCUCGGGGAGUUCCCAUACAAAUUGGCGCGUGCUAGUUCCCAAGGACCAUUUGAGUGGGACCGUUGAAAGAGCCCACCACCGCUUAUGUUGCGUGAGUUUCACGGCAGGCAAACUACUGAAUUAUGACGCGCUACCCCGAGGGACUCUUCCCUUCGUUCAAGAAGUCUAGACAUUUUGAUUUUAUAACGGGACCGCCUGUGUUUCGGAUAUUUAGCCCGUUCGAGUGCCGGUCCACCCUCUCGACGAAGAGUUUACCUUGCGAGGCUAGCCUCGUACGAGAGGUUUGCUUUUUACUCGAAACAUCGUCGCUCGAGCUGCUUCUUGCGUGUUCCACGCAAUUUCUACCCCUUACACGAUCUUCAAACGAGGUUCUCGCCACGGAUUUCUGAUAUCUAGUGACUUUGAAGUAACCCUCUUUAAUACGAAUAUUGUGUUAUAUCGAGGGUGUGGUAUUUUAGAGCGAAAUAUUAUUGGUUGAUGAAAUAUACAGAUACGAAUACAUAAAUUGAUAUUUUGUUUCAGAAAUGAGAGAAACAACUGGUGUUGUACAGAUUUUUAACAACUUUAAAGGUAAACCAAGAAAUAAAAAUUCUAUUCUA